This 431-nucleotide ribosomal RNA is filed under the name uncultured bacterium. RNAcentral describes it as "bacterial SSU rRNA". It matches the Rfam family "Bacterial small subunit ribosomal RNA", at positions 29 to 506 of the family's 1533-position model. The record is from RNAcentral.
ACGAACGCUGGCGGCAGGCUUAACACAUGCAAGUCGAACGCCCUAGCAAUAGGGAGUGGCGCACGGGUGAGUAACGCGUGGGAAUGUACCGUUUAGUAAAGAAUAACCAAGGGAAACUUUGGCUAAUGCUUUAUACGCCCGAGAGGGGAAAGAUUUAUCGCUAAACGAUCAGCCCGCGUGAGAUUAGGUAGUUGGUGGGGUAAUGGCCUACCAAGCCUACGAUCUCUAGCUGGUCUGAGAGGAUGAUCAGCCACACUGGAACUGAGACACGGUCCAGACUCCUACGGGAGGCAGCAGUGGGGAAUAUUGGACAAUGGGGGAAACCCUGAUCCAGCCAUGCCGCGUGAGUGAUGAAGGCUUUAGGGUUGUAAAGCUCUUUCACCGAUGAAGAUAAUGACGGUAGUCGGAGAAGAAGCCCCGGCUAACUUCGU